This 1008-nucleotide long non-coding RNA is filed under the name Gossypium barbadense (sea-island cotton). RNAcentral's name for it is "long non-coding RNA (GBAR_LNC011176)". The record is from RNAcentral. Lineage: Eukaryota; Viridiplantae; Streptophyta; Magnoliopsida; Malvales; Malvaceae.
UAGCCUCUUCCAAUCUUUUGUUGCUCAAUCGACCUCCAAGUGCUCCUCUCAGCACUAAUUUGCCACCACGAGCGACGAUCUGCGCAUCCGAGCCCUAAAGGAGGGGUUUUCUCCUUUGAAACCCCCAUUCAGACUUCGAUUUCGACGAAGUAAAGGGGGAAUGACGGCUAGCCUCUCAAGGUAAGCUCCUCUUUCAUUUUAUAUUAUUAUACACGAGAAUAUGUGCGCAAAAACUAGGAAGAAAAGAACAGAUUCAAAAAGAGAAGAUGAAUGAAGCUCUCGAAAAUCACCUUUCUUUUCUUUUUCUUUUGUAUUCAAUCUGCCAAUAUUGUAUAUGUAUUUGCGUAUUGCCUGUUGUGCGUUUGUGUUGCGUAAAAAACUCACCUAGGCUAUUACAUGGCCUUUAUAGCCGAAAAGAAAGAAAAAUCAAAAAAUGAAAAUGUUAUUUUUCUUCUUCCUUAUUCGCUGCUGCUCUGUGUGUCUUUUUCACAGGUACGGAGUCUGCUGGCAUCGUACGGAGGUGCGGGCGUGGCGUACGAGGGCUGUGCACUGGUGCUGUUGGAGGUGUUGUCUGGCGCAAUAUGGUUUGGCCGCCAGUGAGGGCUGCGGCGCAAGGAGACCCUUGCCCUAGGGUUUUCCAAAAUUGGGCUCAGUUUCUGGGCCGUUUGGGCUAUUGGGCUAUGUCAUUUUGUAAAUGGACUUGUAAUUUGGGUCUUGAAACAUUAGGGUUAAUUUAUUUUGAUUUUGGGUUGUAAUUGGACAGAUAAUGGACUAUUGAUAUCUAGAUUUUUAUAUUAUUUAUUGUUUUUAUUCAGGCCGGGCAAAUUUGGCCCACUACAACUAGCUUGCACCCUAAAGAACUCAUCAGAUGACACACGGUCGUGUCGUCAGGUCGUGUGUCUCCAACGGCUGAGUCACACGUCGUGUCUCAGGCCGUCUGAACUCAAAAUGAACCUUAAACAACAAGUUUACCAAUUCAAGCUUACUUGGACUCUAUGUAAUCCAUUU